This 512-nucleotide ribosomal RNA is filed under the name uncultured bacterium. Its description in RNAcentral is "bacterial SSU rRNA". It matches the Rfam family "Bacterial small subunit ribosomal RNA", at positions 27 to 518 of the family's 1533-position model. The record is from RNAcentral.
GGACGAACGCUGGCGGCGUGCCUAAUACAUGCAAGUCGAGCGGACUUGAUGAGGAGCUUGCUCCUCUGAGAGUUAGCGGCGGACGGGUGAGUAACACGUAGGCAACCUGCCUGUAAGACUGGGAUAACUAGCGGAAACGUUAGCUAAUACCGGAUAAUUUAUUUUCUCGCAUGGGGGAAUAAUGAAAGACGGAGCAAUCUGUCGCUUACGGAUGGGCCUGCGGCGCAUUAGCUAGUUGGUGGGGUAACGGCUCACCAAGGCGACGAUGCGUAGCCGACCUGAGAGGGUGAACGGCCACACUGGGACUGAGACACGGCCCAGACUCCUACGGGAGGCAGCAGUAGGGAAUCUUCCGCAAUGGACGAAAGUCUGACGGAGCAACGCCGCGUGAGUGAUGAAGGUUUUCGGAUCGUAAAGCUCUGUUGCCAGGGAAGAACGUCCGGUAGAGUAACUGCUACCGGAGUGACGGUACCUGAGAAGAAAGCCCCGGCUAACUACGUGCCAGCCGCGGC